UACGUAGGGGGCAAGCGUUGUCCGGAAUCAUUGGGCGUAAAGCGCGCGUAGGCGGCCCGGUAAGUCCGUUGUGAAAGUCAAAGGCUCAACCUUUGAAUGCCGACGGAUACUGCCGGGCUAGAGUCCGGAAGAGGCGAGUGGAAUUCCUGGUGUAGCGGUGGAAUGCGCAGAUAUCAGGAAGAACACCCGUGGCGAAAGCGGCUCUCUGGGACGGUACUGACGCUGAGGCGCGAAAGCGUGGGGAGCGAACAGG
This 253-nucleotide ribosomal RNA is filed under the name uncultured bacterium. RNAcentral's name for it is "partial 16S ribosomal RNA". It matches the Rfam family "Bacterial small subunit ribosomal RNA", at positions 524 to 776 of the family's 1533-position model. The record is from RNAcentral.